AUUUUCUGAAAGGUCUUUGACAAGUUUACCUGCUUAACUGGAGACUCAGGAGGGAGAUCCAAUCGAUGGAACUUCCCAGUGAGGGCAGAGACAGGCCAAGGCUUGACACGGUGACGAGCUCCAGUGCCACGCACUAAUAGAGAGACAAAUUCAACGCAAAACUAAAAUGAAUAACUUGUCUCGAGCUGUUGAUCUAAAAGUCAAACAUCACGCAAAACUAAAAUGAAUAACUUGUCUCGAGCUGUUGAUCUAAAAGUCAAACAUCACACAUUCAUGCAAUAGAAUUCUGAGGAAUAUAAAUGAGUUGAAAACAUUAUUGUAUCUUUACGACUACAUACCAGGGAGGAAGCCUCUAGCCAGAGUCGUUGCCAUCGGAAGAAUCGUCCUCAUCCUCACCUUGGCUGCAGCCGAAGCGCGCGAGGCACGAGGCAUCUAAUGAUUUCACAAUAAGAAAAAUAGAAUGCUUCAAAAUAGGUACAAGAUUUCCCUUUACAAAUAUACAUCAAGAAAGGCUGCAUGAAAACCCCACCCUGUACAGAGAUGUAUUUAUGUAAUUAUAACCAUGUGUUUUCAUAUGAAAUGAACAUUAAACAGAACAGAUGGGUGCAAUAAAUACACACACGCACAAGGUGUUCAUGUGAAAUCAAUAUAUGGGCUAAAGCACAGCAUUUAAAACACAUUGCAUAUGGUGGACAGAGGUAGAGUUUAGACUGUUGGGCGGAUGUGUGCGUGUAAAAAGUGAAUGUAACACGACAUUUCAGCAUUUAAAACACAUUGCAUUGUAUGGACAGAGUCCACCAGAAAGCUUUUCUGUGGUAAUAUGGCUGGCGGCCUAGACGCCGCCGUUUCAACCCUCUGCGCAUCUACUCGGCGCAGACGUGAUCCCCUGUAGUAUCGCGACAUGCUAAUUUAGCCGCUACCCAAACAACUACAACCCUAACCCUACAUUGAAAACCUAUCAACAUCACUGCCGAAGAGAAAAGCUGCGUUUAACUUGAUGACCUCCGCUGCACGAACGCCUCCCAAGAACUGGACAACCUGGACAGCACGACCGUAUUAUUACAACCUGGACAGCACGACCAUCUACUACCAAGCCCCUGAAAACGGAAACAGAGGACAAUGUAAAUGGAGUGUAAAUAGAGUGAUGUGUUAAGAGUGAUGUGUUAAGCGUGAAUAAAAAAUGAAAAACAUUUCAU
Molecule: long non-coding RNA, 1196 nt
Organism: Gadus morhua (Atlantic cod)
Lineage: Eukaryota; Metazoa; Chordata; Actinopteri; Gadiformes; Gadidae
Source: Ensembl